Pimephales promelas (fathead minnow) is the source of this 1912-nucleotide non-coding RNA. NCBI's taxonomy places the organism in Eukaryota, Metazoa, Chordata, Actinopteri, Cypriniformes, Leuciscidae. The record is from RefSeq and is a predicted model, not a curated record.
GCUUCACACUCCCGUCCCAGUAGGUGGCGGAAAUGCACCUUAAACUGGUUUACCAACCGCCAUAAAGAAGAAGAAGUGGAGGAAGAAGAAGAAGCAGAAGAGUAAAAGCAGACAUUCUCUGGGCUGCGUUUCCCAAAAGCAUCGUAAGCCGUUGAGCUCCGCUGGAGAAUUUUCGGUGCUGUGGAGAAGGGAACUACGAGUGCUCUGGAGUAAUCGUACAUCCCCAAGUGCAUCGUAAGAAGACAGAGUUAUGAGGUCACCUGCAGGACAACCGGCAGAUUACACUUUAUUCAAUAGAUUACAAUGCAACUGAUGGAGUUUCCAGAAGGCUUUAACCAGCUUGACCUGCUGGAGUCUCAUGGCCACAUGAUUCCAGUGGGGACAAAGAGCGGCUUGGAGGACGAGGAGGAAGGAGAUGAUGAUGAGGAUGAAACCUGCCACACAGAGGAAUGGAAUCAGCAACAGGAGCUUAAAUUACAAGACACUCCAACUGAACUGAUAUUAUGGGCCGCUGAGAAGAAUAAGUGACCUUUAUCUCGAGCAGUGGUUUUCAAACCUGAAUCUCUUAUUUAAAGGGAUCAUGGAAUUGAGAAUCAAUCAGAGAUCAUAUGGAGAAUCAGAAAUCAGGAGAACACUUCACAUCCGUGCUGUAUGGUGGGUGUAGUCGCUUAAGUUCAGAAUCAAAGUCGGAAAGAGCUUUAAUUAUAGUGUGCUUGUAGGCUACAAACAGGGAAUCUUGGUUUUGAAUCUUGCAGUGCACACAUAUAAAUACAACAAGAAGACACAAUCAAUUUUAAGAAUAAAACAGGUUUAGGCAGAAAAAAAACAUUUACAGUUUUGUAAAUAAUAUGAAUUUACAUAGAUAUUGCACUUCAAAGUCUAAGGGGAUGUAUGGCUUCUGGAAUGGUCAAUUUUCAUAGCAGAGUAAAUAGAGACAUAUUUCUGGAUUCUGUAGAUUCUCAGCUACAAUGUGGAUGCAUUGACAAUACACUUUUUGAGACAAUUAUAUGUGUUAAAAUGUGAUAUGUGAUCACCAAGAAAUACAAAAACAGAAUUUUUAUUUUUUUUAUUUUAUAAAAAUACGAAACAUAAAGAAAGUUAUUCACAACAAAUAUUUAUUCCUCAAAGGCUUUAGAACACCUGCAAAAACAAUUGGGUGAAAAAGUAUAAAGAAACAAAACAAAUAUUUACAUUUCUGUGACUGCAGUCACCAUACUUUUUUGUGAAAAAUACAGAAAUAAGAAUAUAAAGGGAACCAAAUGUUCAUUAAAAUGGAAUAUUCUCUAUAGUCUCAAUUUACAAAAUAUCCAAAAACCACCCCUAGAUGGCACUGUGCAAUGCAUUUAAAAGACUUGAAAUAUUGAUGUUUCAAUAUUUGAUGUUUGAUUGUAAAAAAUGUUUUUUUCUCUUCCAAUAUUCUCUUACUGCUGGGAGCUUUAGAACUCCAAUGAAUUUGAACUUCUCUGCCGGGUUGAUGGUGGUCCACUUGGACCUUUUCCCAGCAGCAAUGUUUCUCUCUGCCAGCUUGUUUGCUUUGGCACACAAUGUCCUUGAAUCAGCUCUAAAAAAAGAGCUUGAAAAGGCUGAGGGGGCUUUGCUCUGUGGAGGUGUCCAAUUGCACUCCAGGUUCCAGUCGGGGCAAAACUGUGGAAUGGGGGCCACAUCAGGAUCAUUUUCGGUCUUCCAUCCUUGUUCCAGCUGGUCUGGUGGUGCUGGACAUCUGACAGGUGAAAGUGUGACUGCCUCCUUCCCCUUCCCCUAUGAUGCGACCUUAAGGCAGGGCUCGCAGAUGUACUCGGCUGCUCUGCGGUUUCCUGAUUUAGACUAAAACACACAGAUUUUGUCAUUAGUUUACUGUAGAUUCCCACAUAUCAAAAGCUGUACAGCCUUUCUAAUAAUGAAAUAAAGAUUA